Culex quinquefasciatus (southern house mosquito) is the source of this 251-nucleotide long non-coding RNA. RefSeq lists it as uncharacterized. Lineage: Eukaryota; Metazoa; Arthropoda; Insecta; Diptera; Culicidae. The record is from RefSeq and is a predicted model, not a curated record. The transcript has 3 exons.
ACCUCUAGAUGAACUCUUAGCAGAGGGAUAAUUUGGCCGAACCAUCGCACCUCCCUAUAACUCCUACACAAACAACACUCACCAACAGCAAAUAUCACAGAUGUUUAUCACAGAUCAACAUGAUCACAGAUGUCUUGCCACAGAUGUCGGGUAGCAGUCAACUCAUCGAUCAUCGUGAAUGCAGUGCAACGAAAAUCAACUUCUGCACCUGCUUCAAAUAAUCAAAUAGAAAAAGAAAAGAACUAAUAUGA